RNAcentral lists this small RNA (125 nucleotides) under Marmota monax (woodchuck). Lineage: Eukaryota; Metazoa; Chordata; Mammalia; Rodentia; Sciuridae. The record is from RNAcentral.
GCCGGGCAUGGUGGUGCACGCCUGUAAUCCCAGCAACUUGGGAGGCUGAGACAGGAGGAUCAUGAGUUCAAAGCCAGCCUCAGCAACAGUGAGGCACUAAGCAACUCAAUGAGACCCUGUCUCUA